UACGGAGGGUGCAAGCGUUAUCCGGAAUCACUGGGUUUAAAGGGUGCGUAGGCGGUUUGAUAAGUCUGUAUUGAAAGCCCAUCGCUUAACGGUGGAACUGGUAUGGAUACUGUCAGACUUGAAUUAGGAUGAGGUAGGCGGAAUGUGACAUGUAGCGGUGAAAUGCUUAGAUAUGUCAUAGAACACCAAUUGCGAAGGCAGCUUACUAGACCUUAAUUGACGCUGAGGCACGAAAGCGUGGGGAUCAAACAGG
This 253-nucleotide ribosomal RNA is filed under the name uncultured bacterium. Its description in RNAcentral is "partial 16S ribosomal RNA". It matches the Rfam family "Bacterial small subunit ribosomal RNA", at positions 524 to 776 of the family's 1533-position model. The record is from RNAcentral.